This is a long non-coding RNA of Cercocebus atys (sooty mangabey), 2070 nucleotides long. RefSeq lists it as uncharacterized. NCBI's taxonomy places the organism in Eukaryota, Metazoa, Chordata, Mammalia, Primates, Cercopithecidae. The record is from RefSeq and is a predicted model, not a curated record. The transcript has 3 exons.
UCUGACUGCAUCGCUGGAGGAGGAGGAAGAGGAUUGAGAGAUAGGACUUUAAGGGCAGAUUCUGCCAGGCAUCGCCCGGGAGCCCCGGCUGAACCCAGCUGUGUGCAGGGAGCCUCCGGCCGCCCUGGGGCUGAGUAUCCUUAGGUCACUGUUCCCAUUUGACUGGCCGAGGAAGCCAAGGCUCUGGUAAUCUGCCAGGAUCCCACAGCCUCCCUGAGCUUGAAGACCAUGGUCUCAUCAACCAAGGAAGGAAGGAAGGAAGGAAAGAAGGAAGGAAGGAAGGAAGGAAAAACUCACCCACUAUCUGCUUGUGAGCUGAUGAGGAUGUCCCUCCCAUCCCCACAGGAGGACACCCCCACAGGAGGACCCCCUCCCGGAGAGCUGACACCCCACAGAAGUGCCUUCUGUGCUGGGCGUGUCCCUGCCUCAUCCCCCUUCCCACCUCCCUGCCUCUGCCUCCGUCUCACGCACAGGGUCCCUCAAGCCCCCCCGCCCAGCCCCAAGCCUCUAGGGCAGAGGCAGGGCCUUGUUGACAGCCAAAACGCUGUCCUCUGGGGGACAAAGAGAAAGCCCCUUUCCCAACCACAGGCCUGCAGUGCUCCCGCUGUCCCUGAGCCUUGUGUCUCCUGGGCAGGCAGAUGGGUGGGCUCACGUCAGAACCACCAGGAAGCCUGUUCCAGACCAGCUUCCCAGGCCCCAGCUGAGCCCCAGGCAAUCAGAAGCUGGGGUGGCCUGGAAAUCUGCAUGUUAACUUCUCCAGGAGAGUCAGAUGUGCCCUGGGGUGGGAGAGCCACCUCCCUGUACCUACCCAUCCAUCCAUCCAUUCAUUCAUUCAUCCGCUCCGUGCUCCUCGGGACCUGGCUGACUCGUCACCCCCCUGGCUGGCACAGAACGGAGGAUGUAGGGCUCUGCUGCCCCAGCCCCUGCAGGGAAUUCUCACAACCCCUGUUCACUGCAAGGCGUAGGAGAUCACUGCACCCCAGCCCGAGGAACACUGACAUUGAUGAGCACAUCACAGGAAUGGAAAUACAAUCGUGGAAUUCCACCGUCAUGGAGCAGGAGAUCUGGGGACACUGGCCAGGCAGCCACCCCAGGCACCCUCGAUCACCAGUCCCAUGAAGCCAGAGCCCAGGUCAAGCCCUCCCCACCCAGCAGGUCUGCUGAGCUCCACGCUGUUCCAGCACAGAGACAGAAGCCCAUCAGCUGUAAGACCCACCCAGGAGGACAGUGCUGGCCGGUCGCCAUCGCGAGGCAACAGGGGAGCUCUUGGGAGAGAACUCUAUACACUCUAAAUACCUCUGAAGGAAGAAAAACCAGCCACAGCCACUGAGACCUGAGCUUUCUGUACAGAAAAGGGAGAGUCAGCCAAAAACAUCAGGAGACAGCCAUGGUGUGGGGACUGGAAGGACCGGGACCCAGACGCCAGCACUCCAGCCUGGACACCUGCUCACCGGCAUGUGCACAGAUGUGACUCGAAGUCAUGAGUGCAUGAAGAUCACACGAGGACAGAGGCUCCUCGGGCCUGCACAAACCACAGUUCCGGGCACCCCAGCUCCAGCAGGCCCGCACACUCCACCAGGGCCUGUCCCCACAUCUGCCCUGGGACAGAGGCUCUCACCCCAUGCAGCCACGCAGAGAAAGACCACCCCUGAUUCUCACCGGCAGAGGUGCCAGCAGGGCCCCGCCUCCCAGGGACAGCGAGUCACACCUGCCUACCCACAGCAGCCGCAGGAGCCUUGCUCUCUAAGAAUCGUGUUGUUGGAAGACCAGAGCCUUUGGGGGCUUAGUUAUGCUCUUAGGGUCCUAAAGCCACGUGAGGGUAACUAAGGCCACCACGGUCGCCCACUCAGACGGGGAAGGGAGGGCAAGAAUGACAUUGACGUUGGCAAACAAGGAAAAACAAGGAAGCGGGUAUCUGCCCUCUAGGAGGUCUCUGCCCUCUCAGGGGUCCCUGCUCUCAGGGGUCUCUGGCCUCUCACAGGUCUCUGCUCUCUUGGAGGUCACUGGCCUCAGAGGUCUCUGACCUCUCAAGAGUCUCUGCCCUCCUGGGGUCUCUGCCCUCUCGGGGGU